This is a long non-coding RNA of Onychomys torridus (southern grasshopper mouse), 4355 nucleotides long. RefSeq lists it as uncharacterized. NCBI's taxonomy places the organism in Eukaryota, Metazoa, Chordata, Mammalia, Rodentia, Cricetidae. The record is from RefSeq and is a predicted model, not a curated record. The transcript has 5 exons.
GCGGGGACGGCCGCGCGGGCGCAGGCAGCUCCAGCAGCGUGGGUCUGUCGUAGCGCUUGGCCAGCGCCGGCCGCCGGCUGCUGGGGAACGUCUUGAGGACGCUGUAGGGGCCGCGCUGCUUGUAGAUGCGGGGCGCGCUGGGCCCCUCCUCCGCCGCCUGCAUCUCGGGCUCCAUGCCGAGCCGGAGGCCCUGCCCGCCCCGCGCGCGGCUCCAGGGGUGGCUCGGCCGCCCGGUCGCCCGCUCUCCCCCGGCGCGCGCCGGCGGGAAGGCGUGUGUCUGAGCCGUGGCCGCCGUGGCCGCCGUGGCCGCCGCCGCCGCCGCCGCCGCUGCUGCCUGUCGCCGAGCCUGGCAUCUCCGAGCCCCCGCGCGGGGGGCUGCCGCCCAGCGCUGAUUGACAGCCCGCCUCGCCAAUGCCUGGAGGGAGAAAGGAGAUUGAGUAUUUACUUCAUGCUACAGGACAGGACUGCAACAGUGAACUAUGGAGCAUGGCUCCUACCCAUCGGGAGCUUGCCUAUACUCUCGUAGGGAGACAGCUAUUAGACAGUCCUCCCUUCAUCUGACAAGAAAGAUAAAGAGUAAUCAACAGUUUUGUUUAAGUGGGGCCUGGGCCCAGCAGAUGUUUAGAGGACACUGUGGAGUCGCAGAUGUUUACACAGUGCCUGGGCAGGAAUCAAGCAUCAGACGAUGACGACCACAAGGCCAUGAGGCAAGCUCCCUUCUUACAUGGAGCAUUACUAAAGAUGUCUACAGCUUCUGAAAGAGAGGACUCGUUAGUCCGUUGGCAGGCCUCUCCUCCCUCAGAGGAAUUUACACAGAACCAGUCGAAAUCUCCUGUCAUUCUGACUGCCCAUAAUACAAAACUUUCUACCCAGAAGACUUCACGUCGACCAGUUUUUGAACGUGCAGUGUAUGAAGAAGCAGGGCUUUGAACUGAACAAGCCCAAGAAUGUACCUGUCAAACCAGUGAUAUGGCUUAAUCACGGCCAGACAUCAGCUGCAACUGAGGUGGCUUUAGCACACAUCUUUUCAUGGCGCCUUCCCAGACUAGGGUAGUCAAUCAGAUGUUCCACAGGAUAAAGGGCUGCCACGUGCCAUGCUGUCUGCUGUCCUGCAUCUUUCUCAACACCUGCACGACCAAGGAUUUGUUUUCCUAAUGGCUGCAAGGCCGGCUGAUGUCACUUCCUGGGAAUUAGCAUUCUCGCCCAAUGUGAACGGUGCUUCAUGGAGACAGCCCACAUCAUGUGCCCGAGAUGGGAUGAGAAAGUUCUGUUCCUCUGCCUGGACUGGGGACAGCUCUGAAGGAGUGCCUGAGAUGGGAUGAGAAAGUUCUGUUCCUCUGCCUGGACUGGGGACAGCUCUGAAGGAGUGCCUGAGAUGGGAUGAGAAAGUUCUGUUCCUCUGCCUCAGACCCUCUGUGGGGCUGGCUGGGUCUGCAGUAGUCAAAACUCUUUCCAAAUCCACGCCGCACCCCAGAAUCUACUUGUUAGCGAACACAACAUGAAGCAUGAGGACUCGGAGAGGGUGGAAAGCCAAUAGCUGAGAGGCCUUUACUAUCUGAGGAAGGACUCACUUUCAAGGUCUACUGUCUACGGUCACUAAAAAGAGAACAGAAAACACCCCCCUCUUUAAUUUUACCACAUCUUUUCACCGACUGAGAACACCCUAACAUUUUGCUAUUUUCGUUUAUUUACUAGAGUUCUCCCUAGCUUUAAUUUAUUUCCAAAUUUGAGCAGCCAAGUCUAUUUGAACCAAUUCUGUGACUGAAAUUUGUUGUCGAACAGAAAAUUAUGAGAGGAACGUGAAGUCCGAGGCGUUUGCUGGAACAGGAAAUGGAGAACAUUACAGCGGAAUGGAGUCCUUUUGGUAAUGAUGCAUGGGGUUGAAACGAUGUGAAAGGGAAAUCAUUUAACCAUGUAAAUUGAACAAAGGAGAAUUCCAUGAUAAUGACCCCAGGCCCUAGCAUUCCGGAGAAUAAAAUGGUAGGCAUCAGAAUGAGGUCACUCCAGCAUGCAUGGCAUUGACCUAGUGCGUUGCUUGGGUGUGUCAACCUGGUUUGAGUCUCUGCCGGAGCAUGAGUUAGUUUCAUCUCUUUGCUCCUUGGAGGGUGAGAAAAAUAAGCAUGUCCUAUAAUCUAUCAUGAGAUAGUUCUGAACAAGAGCUAUCUUAAGGAAGGAGGAUUUUGACAAAAACUUGAUGACUUAAUUUGAAUCAGUUUCCAGGUUGGGGCUGUUGUGUUUGUAAAGAAAAGGAAGCAGAGGACAGGCUGGUUCUGGUGUUGCCGCCCCCCCCCCCUUCCUGAAUAUUUCCUACCAAGUGACUGCUUUGGAUAAUGACAAAAUGAUUUCACUAUGGAGAGAAUGCAGAGAAAAGAAUCUGGGGCUGUUUGAUUGGCUAAUAAUGAACAUAAAGGACUUGGUGCUUGUUGAAUGGCAGAUUGAAAUCCAGUGUGUGUUCAUGCAGAUCUUAUGGGGGUGGUAUUGGAUUGGACCACAAAUUAGUGCUGGCAUUAAUGAGAUGGAAGCUGUAAAAUACAGAGUUCCAAUAACCACGAUCUCUGAUAAGACCCAAUUGAAAGCACCCAGACCAUUCAGACAAGUUCUGUGCCAGAGCCGAGCAGUAAACAACAGAGACAUUCAAAAUGGGGAGGAAACAGAGGCUAUGUAACCGACCGAGCUGGUGUUAGAAAGCUGGGUGGAAACGAUGCUAAUGCACAGCUGAGUGACAGACAUGAGCUUGUGGAGAAUAAUGAUUUGUAGACACAGACACUAUUUAGAUGCAGUGUAAACCAUCAGAGAGGACGAUUAUACCUCCAACAUUAGAGGGAAGUUUAUCCAAAUCAGGAAGGGCCCUGUGUCACCACCACCGCUGCCAUUCCCGACGUGAAUAUGCCUUUGUGUGGUGUAUGUGGUGAUUGACGGCUUGUAGUGCCCAUCUCCCUAUGUUGUGUGAGGCACCUCCUCCUCCUGUUAACCGCUUGUGAGUUAUCCUCAGUAAUUUAUUUCAAAGAGCAUUGCCGGGUGGAAAAUGCCUGCUCGCCAGCAUCUUGAGGUCUGCAUGGCAAACAGAGCAAACACAGUUAUAGCACCAUCAGAUAAUCCCAUUAAGUUGAUAGAUGAACAGUGGCCACUGUCUGACCUGUUUGAGCACUUAGAUGUCAUUUGAAUUCUUGGAUGGCCUUAGUCUGCAGAACUUAUCUCCAGGCAUUGUCCUUGUGUUUCCUACUGAAAUAGGACUACAUUGACGAGAGUGUAGGAGAAGUCUGUGUGUCUUUAGAGGAACCUGCUGGUUUCCCAGAAUUCCGCUGGUGUCUAUCUAGGAUUUGUUUCAGCAGAGCCAAAUGGUGCAUCUACUGUUGGUGCCACAUGUGCUUAUCUUUUGCUCAUUUCCUGUCCCUUUAAGGAAACCACGGGUCAUGAUAAUUGUUCCUUAUCCACCCCACUUAUUGUUCAAGAAACACAUAGUGGUCUCUGUAUUCCUUUGCGGUGUUGCUAUAGGAGAUUCGAGAAACUAUUUCUUUCUCCUGAUGCUCACCACCUUGAUUUUCAAUACCCUCAUUUUUCAUACAGAAUAUGCUUAGUAAAUGUUGAAAUACAUGAACCACCUUGCAAGAGAGAGGCUGUUCUAUGUUUAUAUUGGGAGCGAUAAAACAAAAAGAAGUUAUAUUGACAAUCAUAAAGCAAAAAAGAAGUUCUAUUUACAAUCUUAGAUUGAUAAUAAAUAUGUAUAGCUGAGAAGACCUGUAGAGAUCAACUGGACCCCUGAUCCCUAUUCCACUGUUUGCAUAGAGGAAAGACAGAAAUCAGAGGGAACUGUCUUUCCCAGUGGGUAAUAGUUAGUGUGUGGUUUACCGAAGAUGGAUUCUGAGCUAUGGUCACUGUCUGUCUCCUCACUUGUUUUUCUAAAGGAUAAAGACAACAGAGAGGCUCUACCAGUGAAUUCUUUCUGUCAGGCAUGCUAUGUGGAUGGUUUCUUCUUUGAAUUGCUUUGUGUUACCUGCUUCUGUACUGCGAAUUUAAGAGAUCACAUCAAGGAAGGCAUCCUUAGCUGGCUGGUACAGAAUCAUACUUGAAAAGUCAGAAGAGUUCCUGAGGCCACCGUGAUCUGAAAUUUUAAUCUCCAUCUCUGACGACCUGACAAGCAAUCAUACUGUUGCAACACUCAUGGUCUCUGUCUCUGCAUAUGCUGACUUGGGAUCUGUCAGAAGUCUAUGGUCCUGGAUCCGCCGUUGCAGAGUCCAAAUCCUCUUUCUGGAGACACUCGGAACAACUGAAUCUCUGGCUUCUAUCAGUUCCAAUUUGUUCCGUGUGUGUGUGGUUUGUGUGUGUGUGUGUGUGUGUGUGUGUGUGUGUGUGUG